AUACGUAGGGGGCUAGCGUUAUCCGGAAUUACUGGGCGUAAAGGGUGCGUAGGUGGUUUCUUAAGUCAGAAGUGAAAGGCUACGGCUCAACCGUAGUAAGCUUUUGAAACUAAGAGACUUGAGUGCAGGAGAGGAGAGUAGAAUUCCUAGUGUAGCGGUGAAAUGCGUAGAUAUUAGGAGGAAUACCAGUUGCGAAGGCGGCUCUCUGGACUAUAACUGACACUUAGGCACGAAAGCGUGGGGAGCAAACAGGAUUAGAUACCCUGGUAGUCCACGCCGUAAACGAUGAGUACUAGCUGUCGGGGGUUACCCCCCUCGGUGGCGCAGCUAACGCAUUAAGUACUCCGCCUGGGAAGUACGCUCGCAAGAGUGAAACUCAAAUGAAUUGGCGGGG
This 394-nucleotide ribosomal RNA is filed under the name uncultured bacterium. Its description in RNAcentral is "partial 16S ribosomal RNA". It matches the Rfam family "Bacterial small subunit ribosomal RNA", at positions 523 to 918 of the family's 1533-position model. The record is from RNAcentral.